CACUGAUAAACUGCAUAGUUUUAAACUAAAUUUUUAAAUGGUUGUUCCUUUAUGUUUUGCAUCACUUGUUCAAUACUUUUCUUUUAUUAAUGAAAUGAUUUUCAUGACUUGCUUUAAAAAAAUGUUGUCUCUUUCCUUAGGUUGCAUUAGGUUGCAUGUCAAUACUAGUUAUACUGACUUUCCCUAGAUGCUACAUUAUUUCAUAAUGAAGGUUUGGAGGUAUUUUCUACUAGUACCUUCAAAACUCUCUCGUGGAACAACUGGUAACAAGUGG
RNAcentral lists this long non-coding RNA (274 nucleotides) under Capsicum annuum. Its description in RNAcentral is "long non-coding RNA (CANN_LNC004930)". Lineage: Eukaryota; Viridiplantae; Streptophyta; Magnoliopsida; Solanales; Solanaceae. The record is from RNAcentral.